RNAcentral lists this ribosomal RNA (274 nucleotides) under uncultured bacterium. RNAcentral's name for it is "partial 16S ribosomal RNA". It matches the Rfam family "Bacterial small subunit ribosomal RNA", at positions 523 to 796 of the family's 1533-position model. The record is from RNAcentral.
AUACAGAGGGUGCAAGCGUUAAUCGGAAUUACUGGGCGUAAAGCGCGCGUAGGCGGUUUGUUAAGUCGGAUGUGAAAUCCCCGGGCUCAACCUGGGAACUGCAUUCGAAACUGGCGAGCUCGAGUAUGGUAGAGGGUAGUGGAAUUCCGGGUGUAGCGGUGAAAUGCGUAGAUAUCCGGAGGAACAUCAGUGGCGAAGGCGGCUACCUGGACCAAUACUGACGCUGAGGUGCGAAAGCGUGGGGAGCAAACAGGAUUAGAUACCCCUGUAGUCC